CCUCGAGACCCCCGAGCGAAGGCCUCGGCUCAAUCUUGUGAGCAGCAAGAACGCUCCUGUAAGGGGGGGCGGGCUAGCUGCUCUGACGGAGAGCCGCGUAUAUCUGGUCAGCAGCCGCGUGAUACGUCGUAGGUGGACAGUGUCUGCGAGUAUAGUGGGUCAUAAGCGCGCAGCAGCUGCCUCAUACUGAUGAUGAGAACGCACGCUCUCAGCGUGGGUCAUCUGUAGAAUGGGGGAGUCGUGUGGCAGGAGAGAGGUGAGGAGUAUCACGUCGUAGUCGCUGAGAUACUGUAGUAGAUGAUGUAGGAGCACCACCAGUGGAGGAGGCGGCUCUGUCGUGCAUAAGUGACUGUGACGCGAGAGAGUGUGGAGCGAGCACAAGUUGAUAUCCCGGUGUAGUACACGCUAUACGAGAAGAGUUAUAUGUGUGAGAGGUCAUCCCCCUUAUAGUGGCGCAGAUAACGCUAUACACUCUCCGCGGGGAGAGUGCGGCCACGGGUGAAAAUCUAAAGAGAAUUGGGGGGGCCCCGCACAAGCGGGGGCACAUGUGUUAAUUUUAGAAACAACGAGAAGCCCUUUCACGUGUUGACACCUCCUUCCAACCCUAGAGAUAUGGAGUUUUCCCUUUGGGGGGACAGAGUGACAGGUGGUGCAUGGUUGUCGUCAGCUCGUGUCGUGAGAUGUUGGGUUAAGUCCCGCAACGAGCGCAACCCUUGCCUUUAGUUGCCAGCAUUCAGUUGGGCACUCUAGAGGGACUGCCGGUGACAAAUCGGAGGAAGGUGGGGAUGACGUCAAAUCAUCAUGCCCCUUAUGACCUGGGCUACACACGUGCUACAAUGGACGGUACAAAGGGUUGCGAACCCGCGAGGGGGAGCGAAUCCCAAAAAGCCAUUCUCAGUUCGGAUUGCAGGCUGCAACUCGCCUGCAUGAAGCCGGAAUCGCUAGUAAUCGCGGAUCAGCAUGCCGCGGUGAAUACGUUCCCGGGCCUUGUACACACCGCCCGUCACACCACGAGAGCUUGCAACACCCGAAGUCGGUGACCUAACCCACACG
This 1053-nucleotide ribosomal RNA is filed under the name Bacillus sp. L1. Its description in RNAcentral is "bacterial SSU rRNA". It matches the Rfam family "Bacterial small subunit ribosomal RNA". The record is from RNAcentral. Lineage: Bacteria; Bacillati; Bacillota; Bacilli; Caryophanales; Bacillaceae.